GAUGAACGCUGGCGGCGUGCCUAAUACAUGCAAGUCGAGCGAACAGAUGAGGAGCUUGCUCCUCUGACGUUAGCGGCGGACGGGUGAGUAACACGUGGAUAACCUACCUAUAAGACUGGGAUAACUUCGGGAAACCGGAGCUAAUACCGGAUAAUAUAUUGAACCGCAUGGUUCAAUAGUGAAAGACGGUUUUGCUGUCACUUAUAGAUGGAUCCGCGCCGCAUUAGCUAGUUGGUAAGGUAACGGCUUACCAAGGCGACGAUGCGUAGCCGACCUGAGAGGGUGAUCGGCCACACUGGAACUGAGACACGGUCCAGACUCCUACGGGAGGCAGCAGUAGGGAAUCUUCCGCAAUGGGCGAAAGCCUGACGGAGCAACGCCGCGUGAGUGAUGAAGGUCUUCGGAUCGUAAAACUCUGUUAUUAGGGAAGAACAAAUGUGUAAGUAACUUUGCACGUCUUGACGGUACCUAAUCAGAAAGCCACGGCUAACUACGUG
Molecule: ribosomal RNA, 497 nt
Filed under: uncultured bacterium
Lineage: Bacteria
Description: partial 16S ribosomal RNA
Rfam family: Bacterial small subunit ribosomal RNA
Source: RNAcentral